This 451-nucleotide ribosomal RNA is filed under the name uncultured Clostridium sp. RNAcentral describes it as "partial 16S ribosomal RNA". It matches the Rfam family "Bacterial small subunit ribosomal RNA", at positions 341 to 792 of the family's 1533-position model. Lineage: Bacteria; Bacillati; Bacillota; Clostridia; Eubacteriales; Clostridiaceae. The record is from RNAcentral.
ACGGAAGGCAGCAGUAGGGAAUAUUGCACAAUGGGGGGAACCCUGAUGCAGCAACGCCACGUGUGGGAAGAAGCAUUUCGGUGUGUAAACCACUGUCGUGAGGGAAUAAUGCUCGCUCUCGGGCGAGUUGAAUGUACCUCGAAAGGAAGCACCGGCAAACUUCGUGCCAGCAGCCGCGGUAAUACGUAGGGGGCAAGCGUUAUCCGGAUUUACUGGGUGUAAAGGGAGCGUAGACGGCUUUGCAAGUCUGAAGUGAAAGCCCGGGGCUCAACCCCGGAACUGCUUUGGAAACUGUAGAGCUAGAGUGCAGGAGAGGUAAGUGGAAUUCCUAGUGUAGCGGUGAAAUGCGUAGAUAUUAGGAGGAACACCAGUGGCGAAGGCGGCUUACUGGACUGUAACUGACGUUGAGGCUCGAAGGCGUGGGGAGCAAACAGGAUUAGAUACCCUGGUA